UUUUCGUUUCAGUUUGCACACUGUGGAAAAUUGGAAAGCAGUACUUAAAGUAACAUUGGUGACUAGUUUUUAUGAUAUCGGUUGAAUUCUGCCUUUUAUCAAUCAGUUUUAGUGAGGUAUUGCUUUUUCAAGUAAAAGAGAAGUGAACACACCCACAUAUGUGUAGAAGAACAUAUACAAUAGAACAGUCAUGUUGAUUUGAAAAGAACUUGGCUCAUAGAAGUAAAUGAACUGAUUGUUCGAGCUCAAUAGACAUAACUCCGAUUACUUCAUUGAUAGUUCAUGUUAAUUGAAUCACGUGCACAAAGUGCUUUGACAUGUCCCGGUGCAGUACAUUAAAAGAUCUGAGCAUUUAAUGUGUAUUAAAUAACACCGCGAACGACGGACGAAUCGCGAAUCACAACACGCAGAAGACGGAGCGGCAGGAACCAGCUGUUCGAAGAGCUGGCGAUGAUUACUGCGAUGCGAUCCCCUGCACUAGGUCUCCGCUUCGACGACGACCACGCGAUGCUUACUGGCUGAUGUACAUAGGCUGACUGCUUCAGACUCUACUGGGAGAGCCACACUGCGAACUGGCCAACGACGAUGACGACAUUGAGGGGGGCUCUAUACCAACACCUACCAACUACAUUCGAAUCAAUAGCACCAUACCCAUUAGCCAGGCAGGAGUAGCGAAGCAAAAAAAAAACUUAAACGAAAUCGAAAAACGUGUGUACUGCCUUGCUGUUCACCAACCGCACACAUAGCUCGACACAGAACGUCAGAGAAUGAACAGCCACUCGCGCAGUAACAUCAACCGUAUUAGAUGGAGGUUCUCAACCUUGUGCUCAGCGAAAGGUUAAUCAACGAAGUUGGAAAGAAUGUUAAAACCCUGACUAAUCCACCUAGUGGUGUAAGUGUUUUAGAAAGGGUGAUAAGGUAAAAACAUAGAAGAAAAAUAAAACUUAGCCCUGAUAGGCUGAUAGAUCCCGA
Armigeres subalbatus is the source of this 972-nucleotide long non-coding RNA. RefSeq lists it as uncharacterized. The transcript has 2 exons. NCBI's taxonomy places the organism in Eukaryota, Metazoa, Arthropoda, Insecta, Diptera, Culicidae. The record is from RefSeq and is a predicted model, not a curated record.